RNAcentral lists this long non-coding RNA (255 nucleotides) under Elaeis guineensis (African oil palm). Its description in RNAcentral is "long non-coding RNA (EGUI_LNC029777)". Lineage: Eukaryota; Viridiplantae; Streptophyta; Magnoliopsida; Arecales; Arecaceae. The record is from RNAcentral.
GUGCGUCAAUUUGUUGCGGCCAACUCUCCAUCAUCUGUCAUCGAUAACGAGCACCUGUAAGACAGCAUCCACACAGACCGAAUUGGUGUCCGACGGAGACCCUCCGAUGCUUAAGUCAGAGAAGAAAGUUGGUGAACAGUAAUUUUUGAAUGUAGAAAGUAGCAGAGUUCUGGUCCAGAGAUGGCUUACCAGUACUGCUCACUCACCUCCUUUUUAUAGAUGGUUCUGGUGUAAUUGUUGAGCACGUGAUUCUGC